UGCAGUCGACGGAGUGUUGCGCUGAAUUGAGAUUAGCUUGCUAAAGGAAAUUUCUUGUAACACUUAGUGGCGGACGGGUGAGUAACGCGUGAGGAACCUGCCUUACAGAGGGGGACAACAGUUGGAAACGACUGCUAAUACCGCAUGAUGUGGAGGGGAGACAUCUCCCUUUCACCAAAGGAGCAAUCCGCUGUAAGAUGGCCUCGCGUCUGAUUAGAUAGUUGGUGGGGUAACGGCCUACCAAGUCGACGAUCAGUAGCCGGACUGAGAGGUUGAUCGGCCACAUUGGGACUGAGACACGGCCCAGACUCCUACGGGAGGCAGCAGUGGGGGAUAUUGCACAAUGGAGGAAACUCUGAUGCAGCAACGCCGCGUGAGGGAAGAAGGUUUUCGGAUUGUAAACCUCUGUUUUUAGUGAAGAAACAAAUGACGGUAGCUAAAGAGGAAGCCACGGCUAACUACGUGCCAGCAGCCGCGGUAAUACGUAGGUGGCAAGCGUUGUCCGGAAUUACUGGGUGUAAAGGGUGCGCAGGCGGGAUUGCAAGUUGGAUGUGAAAUACCGGGGCUUAACCCCGGAGCUGCAUCCAAAACUGUAGUUCUUGAGUGGAGUA
Molecule: ribosomal RNA, 611 nt
Filed under: uncultured bacterium
Lineage: Bacteria
Description: bacterial SSU rRNA
Rfam family: Bacterial small subunit ribosomal RNA
Source: RNAcentral